AAUAGAUACCCGGGUAGUCCACGCCGUAAACGAUGAGUGCUAAGUGUUAGAGGGUUUCCGCCCUUUAGUGCUGCAGCAAACGCAUUAAGCACUCCGCCUGGGGAGUACGGCCGCAAGGCUGAAACUCAAAGGAAUUGACGGGGGCCCGCACAAGCGGUGGAGCAUGUGGUUUAAUUCGAAGCAACGCGAAGAACCUUACCAGGUCUUGACAUCCUCUGCCACUCCUAGAGAUAGGAUUUUCCCCUUCGGGGGACAGAGUGACAGGUGGUGCAUGGUUGUCGUCAGCUCGUGUCGUGAGAUGUUGGGUUAAGUCCCGCAACGAGCGCAACCCUUGAUCUUAGUUGCCAGCAUUCAGUUGGGCACUCUAAGGUGACUGCCGGUGACAAACCGGAGAAGGUGGGGAUGACGUCAAAUCAUCAUGCCCCUUAUGACCUGGGCUACACACGUGCUACAAUGGAUGGUACAAAGGGUCGCGAAACCGCGAGGUCGAGCCAAUCCCACAAAACCAUUCUCAGUUCGGAUUGCAGG
This 528-nucleotide ribosomal RNA is filed under the name uncultured bacterium. RNAcentral's name for it is "bacterial SSU rRNA". It matches the Rfam family "Bacterial small subunit ribosomal RNA", at positions 777 to 1304 of the family's 1533-position model. The record is from RNAcentral.